This 450-nucleotide ribosomal RNA is filed under the name uncultured Glomus. Its description in RNAcentral is "SSU rRNA". It matches the Rfam family "Eukaryotic small subunit ribosomal RNA", at positions 569 to 1024 of the family's 1831-position model. The record is from RNAcentral. RNAcentral also lists the same sequence under 1 other name. Lineage: Eukaryota; Fungi; Glomeromycota; Glomeromycetes; Glomerales; Glomeraceae.
AGCAGCCGCGGUAAUUCCAGCUCCAAUAGCGUAUAUUAAAGUUGUUGCAGUUAAAAAGCUCGUAGUUGAAUUUCGGGAUCAAGGAAUCGGUCAUGCCUUGGUAUGUACUGGUUUUAUUGGUUCUCACCUUCUAAAGAACCAUAAUGUCAUUUAUUUGAUGUUAUGGGGAAUUAGGACUGUUACCUUGAAAAAAUUAGAGUGUUUAAAGCAAGCUUACGCUUGAAUACAUUAGCAUGGAAUAAUGAAAUAGGACAUCAGAUUCUAUUUUGUUGGUUUCUAGGAUCGAUGUAAUGAUUAAUAGGGAUAGUUGGGGGCAUUAGUAUUCAAUUGUCAGAGGUGAAAUUCUUGGAUUUAUUGAAGACUAACUACUGCGAAAGCAUUUGCCAAGGAUGUUUUCAUUAAUCAAGAACGAAAGUUAGGGGAUCGAAGACGAUCAGAUACCGUCGUAGU